AUGCUGACGAGUGGCGGACGGGUGAGUAAUGCGUAGGAAUCUGUCUUUUAGUGGGGGACAACCCAGGGAAACUUGGGCUAAUACCGCAUGAGCCCUGAGGGGGAAAGCGGGGGAUCUUCGGACCUCGCGCUAAGAGAGGAGCCUACGUCCGAUUAGCUAGUUGGCGGGGUAAAGGCCCACCAAGGCGACGAUCGGUAGCUGGUCUGAGAGGACGACCAGCCACACUGGGACUGAGACACGGCCCAGACUCCUACGGGAGGCAGCAGUGGGGAAUUUUUCGCAAUGGGGGCAACCCUGACGAAGCAAUGCCGCGUGGAUGAAGAAGGCCUUCGGGUUGUAAAGUCCUUUCGUGGAGGACGAAAAGGUGGGUUCUAAUACAAUCUGCUAUUGACGUGAAUCCAAGAAGAAGCACCGGCUAACUCCGUGCCAGCAGCCGCGGUAAUACGGGGGGUGCAAGCGUUAAUCGGAAUCACUGGGCGUAAAGGGUGCGUAGGCGGUACGUUAGGUCUGUCGUGAAAUCCCCGGGCUCAACCUGGGAAUGGCGGUGGAAACCGGUGUACUAGAGUAUGGGAGAGGGUGGUGGAAUUCCAGGUGUAGCGGUGAAAUGCGUAGAGAUCUGGAGGAACAUCAGUGGCGAAGGCGGCCACCUGGCCCAAUACUGACGCUGAGGCACGAAAGCGUGGGGAGCAAACAGGAUUA
Molecule: ribosomal RNA, 699 nt
Filed under: uncultured bacterium
Lineage: Bacteria
Description: bacterial SSU rRNA
Rfam family: Bacterial small subunit ribosomal RNA
Source: RNAcentral